This 494-nucleotide ribosomal RNA is filed under the name uncultured fungus. RNAcentral describes it as "eukaryotic LSU rRNA". The stretch from base 174 to 321 matches the Rfam family "5.8S ribosomal RNA". The record is from RNAcentral. Lineage: Eukaryota; Fungi.
AAGUCGUAACAAGGUCUCGUAGGUGAACCUGCGGAGGGAUCAUUACCGAGAGAGGGCGCCUCGCGCGCCGCCUCCCACCUUUGCGAACGUACGCGUUGCUCGGGGUGGCCUAGCCGCCCCGAGGACGUUCCACCAAACCCUGCGUCUGGCGUCGGAGUAUGAUUUGAUCAUCAAACUUUACAACGGAUCUCUUGGUUCUGGCAUCGAUUGAAGAACGCAGCGGAACUGGCGAUAAGUAAUGUGGAAUUGGCAGAUUCAGUGAUCAUCGAUCUUUUGACACCUUGCGCCCUGGAUUCAGGGGGCAUGCCCGUUCGAGCGUCUUACACACUCAAGCCUGCUUGGUAUUGGGCGGCGGGGACCCCCGGCGCUCCAUGUGUCCGGCUGGACGGUUGAAUUCAGCGUUUGUGAUCAUUCGCUGGCGGGGACGACCGGACGCGCGUUAAACGUUUCAUCACAGGUUGACCUCGGUCGGGUAGGGAUACCCGCUGACUUAA